CACGUGCAAGUCGAACGGGAUCCAUUGGUGCUUGCACUUUUGGUGAGAGUGGCGAACGGGUGAGUAACACGUGAGUAACCUGCCCUUUUCUUUGGGAUAAGCCUGGGAGACUGGGUCUAAUACUGGAUGUUCCGGCUUCCUCGCAUGGGGUUGUUGGGAAAGGUUUUUUCUGGAUUGGGAUGGGCUCGCGGCUUAUCAGCUUGUUGGUGGGGUGAUGGCUUACCAAGGCUUUGACGGGUAGCCGGCCUGAGAGGGUGGUCGGUCACACUGGGACUGAGAUACGGCCCAGACUCCUACGGGAGGCAGCAGUGGGGGAUAUUGCACAAUGGACGCAAGUCUGAUGCAGCGACGUCGUGUGGGGGAUGAAGGCCUUCGGGUUGUAAACUCCUUUCGCCUGCGGAAAAGGCAGGGUUUUGGCCUUGUUGAUGGUAGUGGGUAAAGAAGCGCCGGCUAACUACGUGCCAGCAGCCGCGGUAAUACGUAGGGCGCGAGCGUUGUCCGGAAUUAUUGGGCGUAAAGGGCUCGUAGGCGGUUUGUCGCGUCUAGCGUUUAAGGCUCGGGCUUAACCCGGGUUUGCGUUGGGUACGGGCAGGCUUGAGUGCGGUAGGGGUAACUGGAAUUCCUGGUGUAGCGGUGGAAUGCGCAGAUAUCAGGAGGAACACCGGUGGCGAAGGCGGGUUAC
RNAcentral lists this ribosomal RNA (682 nucleotides) under uncultured Actinomycetes bacterium. RNAcentral describes it as "bacterial SSU rRNA". It matches the Rfam family "Bacterial small subunit ribosomal RNA", at positions 52 to 729 of the family's 1533-position model. Lineage: Bacteria; Bacillati; Actinomycetota; Actinomycetes. The record is from RNAcentral.